AUGGAGUGGGGUCUAACCCGUCUACAACCAUGGAUGGAGACGCUCCAAACCCUAGCAUGGGGACCGAGCCGCCAUGGAUGUUCGAAUGAGGCAGGAGGCCAGCGGCCAGGACGACGCCAUGCAGCAGCAAGGUUCCUUGGUGGGUACAGCAGCAGCAGAAAGAGGACACCAUGGUGGGUACAGCGGCAGAAGCAGCAGCUCGAUGGACGCAUGGACGCCACCAUGGAAGCUGCGGGGAUGGAGGCGGCAUUCGGGUCUGGAGAUGGCAUGAGAAGCAGAGCUCUUUCUGCCACUAUCUCUACAAAGAAAGUGUAG
This 315-nucleotide ribosomal RNA is filed under the name Triticum aestivum (bread wheat). RNAcentral's name for it is "partial small subunit ribosomal RNA". Lineage: Eukaryota; Viridiplantae; Streptophyta; Magnoliopsida; Poales; Poaceae. The record is from RNAcentral.